AUGACUGGCCUUGAUCUGAAUGUGUUACCGGAUGAAUGCAGUGAUGCAGUUACCUGGACUGAUGUGCAUUGUUCUGCUUUGGAAGAUAGUGUGUCCCUGGAGGAUGUUACUAUUUCCAAGAAGCAUCGCCGUGCUUCCUGCCCUGCACCUUUGGAUGUCUCUGAAUUGCGUCGCAGUUCUCGCCGCACCAGGUUCCAAGGAUUUAAGGCUACAUUUGUUGCUAAUCGUCCCAGGAGGCACCCCUUAGUCAAGCCCCGCCCCUCUUCUACAACUGUAGCUGGACCACACCUACCACUGGUGGCCCCUCCUACUGCUGGUCCAUCUGCGCCUGCGCCGCCUCCAUCGUCCACCUCAAUACCUGUUCUCGAGCACAUCGGUGUCUCCCAUUGUAGCAUCUCAGCUUCAGAGCGGUCCAACGAGUGCCUCGUGUAG
Molecule: ribosomal RNA, 432 nt
Filed under: Triticum aestivum (bread wheat)
Lineage: Eukaryota; Viridiplantae; Streptophyta; Magnoliopsida; Poales; Poaceae
Description: partial small subunit ribosomal RNA
Source: RNAcentral